CAGUCGCCACGGUAAUACGAAGGGUGCAAGCGUUACUCGGAAUUACUGGGCGUAAAGCGUGCGUAGGUGGUUGUUUAAGUCUGCUGUGAAAGCCCUGGGCUCAACCUGGGAAUUGCAGUGGAUACUGGGCAACUAGAGUAAGGUAGAGGAUAGUGGAAUUUCCUGUGUAGCGGUGAAAUGCGUAGAUAUAGGAAGGAACACCAGUGGCGAAGGCGACUACCUGGACUGAUACUGACACUGAGGUGCGAAAGCGUGGGGAGCAAACAGGAUUAGAUACCCCUGUAGUCCCUGUCUCUUAUAC
This 301-nucleotide ribosomal RNA is filed under the name uncultured bacterium. Its description in RNAcentral is "partial 16S ribosomal RNA". It matches the Rfam family "Bacterial small subunit ribosomal RNA", at positions 509 to 807 of the family's 1533-position model. The record is from RNAcentral.